Non-coding RNA from Cinara cedri, 296 nucleotides. NCBI's taxonomy places the organism in Eukaryota, Metazoa, Arthropoda, Insecta, Hemiptera, Aphididae. The record is from the annotation of a GenBank genome assembly.
CGAUCCGCCGAUUUUCUCGGAUGGUUUUAAAUAAAUUUGAUUCUGGUUUAUCGAGUCGUUAUGAAAUCGCCAGUGAGCUUUUUUACUUUUUUGGUUAUUUUCAAAUUGGACGUAUACUCCGCGCUUCAACAUUUCUCACAUCGCACGGUAUACCGUUUGGGGGUAACGGCAGUAAUUUAUUUGUACGUCAAAUUUUCCGGAUAGCUCCCCUGCGCUUCCGGUCUGAAUUUUAUUGUGCUGGGUUAGGUUGGGGUAACUGGGGCAGUGCACUUUGUAUUACUGUCCGAUGAUUACUG